RNAcentral lists this ribosomal RNA (194 nucleotides) under uncultured soil bacterium. Its description in RNAcentral is "partial 16S ribosomal RNA". It matches the Rfam family "Bacterial small subunit ribosomal RNA", at positions 27 to 218 of the family's 1533-position model. The record is from RNAcentral.
GGGAUGAACGCUGGCGGCGUGCUUAACACAUGCAAGUCGAACGGUGAAGCAGGAGCUUGCUCCUGCGGAUCAGUGGCGAACGGGUGAGUAACACGUGAGCAAUCUGCCCUGGACUCUGGGAUAAGCGUUGGAAACGACGUCUAAUACCGGAUACGAGACGCGAAGCAUCUUCAGCGUCUGGAAAGUAAUUUCGG